This is a long non-coding RNA of Lynx canadensis (Canada lynx), 448 nucleotides long. RefSeq lists it as uncharacterized. The record is from RefSeq and is a predicted model, not a curated record. The transcript is spliced from 3 exons. Lineage: Eukaryota; Metazoa; Chordata; Mammalia; Carnivora; Felidae.
GCUGAUCGAUAUCUUGGUAAAAUAUUCAUUUUUAAACUAGCGGGCAGUGAAAUCUUUGCUUUGUGUGCUAAAGUCAACAGUCGCUCGGUUUGAGCUCAAAUAAAUGCGGAGAUGCCUCGGCUCAGAGCAGUCGGCCACCUCCCUUCGAGCGCUGGACGCUCCGCCGCCCGCCAGCCCGCCGCACCACAGUGUCACUAAAAUCGGACGUGCUUCAGAAACUGAGCGGCACCGCUUUUCUUCCGAAAUGAGCCCCACACCACAGGCUGCCAGGUUCUUCUCCCUGGAUCAAGACUAGCUCAACUAUGGCUGAGAAAACAACCCAUGUUCCCCAGAGUUUAAAACCUGCCCAUAAGUUGUGGUCGUGUUUUGGAGAUUCGGGAUCCUAUUUCCAAGGAGAGUUGUCCGGGGCGUGUUUAUGUUUGUUAUUUUCAAAACCAAGCAAAGGAAA